UAUGGCUUUUUAUUCCUAUGUGAUAGUAUUUUGGCCUCACAUAGGGGUGAAAGCCAUGGG
This 60-nucleotide microRNA precursor is filed under the name Scyliorhinus torazame (cloudy catshark). RNAcentral's name for it is "Sto-Mir-135-P4_pre stem-loop". It matches the Rfam family "mir-135 microRNA precursor family", at positions 17 to 74 of the family's 88-position model. From Rfam's summary of the family: The hairpin precursors (represented here) are predicted based on base pairing and cross-species conservation -- their extents are not known. In this case the mature sequence is excised from the 5' arm of the hairpin. The record is from RNAcentral. Lineage: Eukaryota; Metazoa; Chordata; Chondrichthyes; Carcharhiniformes; Scyliorhinidae.